GGGAUUGCCUCAGUAACGGCGAGUGAAGCGGCAACAGCUCAAAUUUGAAAUCUGGCUCCUCUCGGGGUCCGAGUUGUAAUUUGUAGAGAGUGUUUCGGGGGAGACCGCGGUCUAAGUCCAUUGGAACAUGGCGUCAUAGAGGGUGAGAAUCCCGUCUGUGACCGCGGAUCGAGCCCAUGUGAAGCCUCUUCGACGAGUCGAGUUGUUUGGGAAUGCAGCUCAAAAUGGGUGGUAAAUUUCAUCUAAAGCUAAAUANUGGCUGGAGACCGAUAGCGCACAAGUAGAGUGAUCGAAAGAUGAAAAGCACUUUGGAAAGAGAGUUAAACAGUACGUGAAAUUGUUGAAAGGGAAGCGCUUGCGACCAGACCUGCCCGUGGGCGAUCAGCCGCUGUUCUCAGCGGUGCACUCGUUCCACGAUCAGGCCAGCAUCGGUUUCGGCGGUCGGAUAAAGGCCUUGGGAAUGUAGCUUCCCUUCGGGGGAGUCUUAUAGCCCUCGGUGCAAUGCGGCCAGCCGGGACCGAGGACCGCGCUUCGGCUAGGAUGCUGGCGUAAUGGUCGUAAGCGACCCGUCUUGAAACACGGACCAAGGAGUCUAACAUCUAUGCGAGUGUUUGGGUGUUAAACCCAUGCGCGGAAUGAAAGUGAACGGAGGUGAGAACCCUUAAGGGCGCAUCAUCGACCGAUCCAGAUGUCUUCGGAUGGAUUUGAGUAUGAGCAUAGCUGUUGGGACCCGAAAGAUGGUGAACUAUGCCUGAAUAGGGUGAAGCCAGAGGAAACUCUGGUGGAGGCUCGCAGCGGUUCUGACGUGCAAAUCGAUCGUCAAAUUUGGGUAUAGGGGCGAAAGACUAAUC
This 851-nucleotide ribosomal RNA is filed under the name Flavoparmelia rutidota. RNAcentral describes it as "eukaryotic LSU rRNA". It matches the Rfam family "Eukaryotic large subunit ribosomal RNA", at positions 71 to 936 of the family's 3401-position model. Lineage: Eukaryota; Fungi; Ascomycota; Lecanoromycetes; Lecanorales; Parmeliaceae. The record is from RNAcentral.